AGCCGUAAACAAUGUGCGUUAGGUGUGUCGGUAACCACGCGUUACUGAUGCGCCGAAGAGAAAUCGUGAAACGCACCACCUGGGAAGUACGGUCGCAAGGCUGAAACUUAAAGGAAUUGGCGGGGGAGCACCACAACAGGUGGAGCCUGCGGUUUAAUUGGAUUCAACGCCGGACAUCUCACCGGAUAAGACAGCUGAAUGAUUGUCAAUCUGAAGGUUUUACAUGACUAGCUGAGAGGUGGUGCAUGGCGUCAGUGACU
RNAcentral lists this ribosomal RNA (260 nucleotides) under uncultured archaeon. RNAcentral describes it as "partial 16S ribosomal RNA". It matches the Rfam family "Archaeal small subunit ribosomal RNA", at positions 749 to 1008 of the family's 1478-position model. The record is from RNAcentral.